UGGGGGAUAUUGCACAAUGGGCGAAAGCCUGAUGCAGCGACGCCGCGUGGGGGAUGAAGGCCUUCGGGUUGUAAACUUCUUUUGCUCUGAACAAGGCAUGCCAAUGGGUGUGUUGAGUGUAGGGGUUGAUUAGCGCCGGCUAACUACGUGCCAGCAGCCGCGGUAAUACGUAGGGCGCGAGCGUUGUCCGGAAUUAUUGGGCGUAAAGGGCUUGUAGGUGGCUGGUUGCGUCUGUCGUGAAAGCUCAUGGCUUAACUGUGGGUUUGCGGUGGGUACGGGCUGGCUUGAGUGCAGUAGGGGAGGCUGGAAUUCCUGGUGUAGCGGUGGAAUGCGCAGAUAUCAGGAGGAAUACCGGUGGCGAAGGCGGGUCUCUGGGCUGUUACUGACACUGAGGAGCGAAAGCGUGGGGAGCGAACAGG
This 419-nucleotide ribosomal RNA is filed under the name Bacteroidota bacterium. RNAcentral describes it as "Bacteroidetes bacterium partial 16S ribosomal RNA". It matches the Rfam family "Bacterial small subunit ribosomal RNA", at positions 355 to 776 of the family's 1533-position model. Lineage: Bacteria; Pseudomonadati; Bacteroidota. The record is from RNAcentral.